RNAcentral lists this ribosomal RNA (254 nucleotides) under Salmonella enterica. RNAcentral describes it as "partial 23S ribosomal RNA". It matches the Rfam family "Bacterial large subunit ribosomal RNA", at positions 1988 to 2241 of the family's 2925-position model. RNAcentral also lists the same sequence under 1 other name. Lineage: Bacteria; Pseudomonadati; Pseudomonadota; Gammaproteobacteria; Enterobacterales; Enterobacteriaceae. The record is from RNAcentral.
CUGCACGAAUGGCGUAACGAUGGCCACACUGUCUCCUCCCGAGACUCAGCGAAGUUGAAAUGUUUGUGAUGAUGCAAUCUACCCGCGGCUAGACGGAAAGACCCCAUGAACCUUUACUGUAGCUUUGCAUUGGACUUUGAACCAAUCUGUGUAGGAUAGGUGGGAGGCUUUGAAGCGGGGACGCUAGUUCUCGUGGAGCCAACCUUGAAAUACCACCCUGGUUUGUUUGAGGUUCUAACCUUGGUCCGUUAUCC